UACGUAGGUCCCGAGCGUUGUUCGGAAUCACUGGGCGUAAAGGGUGCGUAGGCGGCGUGGUAAGUCAGAUGUGAAAUCCCGGGGCUCAACCCCGGAACUGCAUCCGAUACUGCCGUGCUUGAGGGUUGGAGAGGUAGCUGGAAUUAUCGGUGUAGCAGUGAAAUGCGUGGAUAUCGAUAGGAACACUCGUGGCGAAGGCGAGCUACUGGACAACAUCUGACGCUGAGGCUCGAAGGCUAGGGGAGCAAAAGGG
RNAcentral lists this ribosomal RNA (253 nucleotides) under uncultured bacterium. RNAcentral's name for it is "partial 16S ribosomal RNA". It matches the Rfam family "Bacterial small subunit ribosomal RNA", at positions 524 to 776 of the family's 1533-position model. The record is from RNAcentral.